UCCCUGGUGGUCCAGUGGUUAAGACUCUGCACUUUCAAUGCAGGGGACAUAGGUUUGACCCCUGGGCAGGGAA
Non-coding RNA from Bos taurus (domestic cattle), 73 nucleotides. Lineage: Eukaryota; Metazoa; Chordata; Mammalia; Artiodactyla; Bovidae. The record is from Rfam.